UCUGGCCCCGGCCCUCUCUGCAACAACGCGGCCCUUGCUGAGGUCAUAAAUGAUCACAGCCUGCGAAAUCAAGUACUGAGCUGACUUGGCCUCUCCACUGGCUACCCUCUCUUGAAUGUCUCUCCCUCGGUUUUCAGGAAACCUCCCCACUACCUCUUACCUCUGUGGUUGCUCCUUCUCCCUUUCAAACUCCUCUUCCUCUGCCUAUCUCUUCCAUGCUGUCAUUUCCAAAGCUCUUCCUCUACUCUUUUCUCAUUCUAGCCUACUGUACCCAUCCAGUGGGUUUGCCUAUCACCCACAGAUUAAUGCUUCCUUCACUGACAUUUGUGAUUUCUGUAGCUGUUCAGCAUCUUCCUUUACUGCACUGGUACAUUUUCCAUGGUCAUCCCUCCUGGAUUCGGAAAGGGCCAGAUACUAGUUUUACUUAGCCCCACUAACAGCUGGGGUGCUAGCCCAUUACCCAGACUUCUCCAGAUUUACCCGCCUGAGGCAGAGCCUCCUCAAGCUGAUGCCACAAGGAAGCAAAGAAGUUGAAUAAUUUGUCCUGGGGGACCACAGCAGUACUGCAGCAGGGCCUCAUCCCGUGGAUGGCCCACAGGCACCUCCCAAAGGAAUAAAAGAUGCAGUUCACCAUCUUGCUUGCAACGCCCCUCAGCUGGCUGUACUAUAUUCCCACGCUGACUCCCAAGUUCUUCAGCUUUGGGACUCGGACUGGCUUCCUUGCUCCUCAGCUUGCCCACAACCUAUUGGACCUUGUGAUUGGCAUUCUCCAUCCCUAGACAAAGCACUGUAUGAAUCCUAUGCAGAUGUGCAGGAAGGCAGGGAAAAGCAAAGAUCAGCUGGUAGCAACGUGGUUUUGUCUAUUCAAUCCUUCUAUCAAUAAACACCCAUUCCAAAAGAAGCAGAGUGCUCCAACAAAAAUUGUGUUUUGAAGAUUGUAAACAGCAACAUGAAAAAAGUGCUGCCGUUGCCGUGACAAGUAAACAAAAGGAAACAAAGCUGUUGUGUGCAACAAGAUUACAACUAAAAAAAUAUACAAAGGAAAAUGAGAAGGCAAAUACCAAAAUAUUAACAGCAAUGUUAGGAUGAGUAGAAUAUCAGACACUUUCCUUUUGCCUGACUCUCCAAAAUGGUUCCCAACCUGUGAGAAUAUUAAAGAUGUUCAGAACG
Molecule: long non-coding RNA, 1170 nt
Organism: Pongo pygmaeus (Bornean orangutan)
Lineage: Eukaryota; Metazoa; Chordata; Mammalia; Primates; Hominidae
Exons: 4
Source: RefSeq, a predicted model, not a curated record